This 911-nucleotide ribosomal RNA is filed under the name uncultured bacterium. RNAcentral describes it as "bacterial SSU rRNA". It matches the Rfam family "Bacterial small subunit ribosomal RNA", at positions 9 to 914 of the family's 1533-position model. The record is from RNAcentral.
GAGUUUGAUCAUGGCUCAGGAUGAACGCUAGCGACAGGCCUAACACAUGCAAGUCGAGGGGCAGCACAUGAGUAGCAAUACGAUGGUGGCGACCGGCGCACGGGUGAGUAACACGUAUGCAACCUGCCUUCUACUAUGGGAUAACCCGUUGAAAGACGGACUAAUACCGUAUAAUACAGGGGCUCCGCAUGGAGAUAUUUGUUAAAGACUUAUUGGUAGAAGAUGGGCAUGCGUAUGAUUAGAUAGUUGGUGAGGUAACGGCUCACCAAGUCAACGAUCAUUAGGGGUUCUGAGAGGAAGGUCCCCCACACUGGUACUGAGACACGGACCAGACUCCUACGGGAGGCAGCAGUGAGGAAUAUUGGUCAAUGGACGAGAGUCUGAACCAGCCAAGUCGCGUGAAGGAAGACGGUUCUAUGAAUUGUAAACUUCUUUUGUGCAGGAAUAAAGUGGGUUACGUGUAACCUUUUGUAUGUACUGUACGAAUAAGGAUCGGCUAACUCCGUGCCAGCAGCCGCGGUAAUACGGAGGAUCCAAGCGUUAUCCGGAUUUAUUGGGUUUAAAGGGUGCGUAGGUGGAUUGAUAAGUCAGCGGUGAAAGUUUGCAGCUUAACUGUAAAAUUGCCGUUGAAACUGUCGGUCUUGAGUGCAAAUGAGGUAGGCGGAAUGUGUUGUGUAGCGGUGAAAUGCUUAGAUAUAACACAGAACUCCGAUUGCGAAGGCAGCUUACUGGGAUGCAACUGACACUGAUGCACGAAAGCGUGGGUAUCAAACAGGAUUAGAUACCCUGGUAGUCCACGCAGUAGACGAUGAAUACUAGCUGUAUGCGAUAUACCGUAUGUGGCACAGCGAAAGCGUUAAGUAUUCCACCUGGGGAGUACGUUCGCAAGAAUGAAACUCAAAGGAAUUGAC